RNAcentral lists this transfer RNA (47 nucleotides) under Nesillas typica (Madagascan brush warbler). RNAcentral describes it as "partial tRNA-Met". Lineage: Eukaryota; Metazoa; Chordata; Aves; Passeriformes; Sylviidae. RNAcentral also lists the same sequence under 2 other names. The record is from RNAcentral.
AUCGGGCCCAUACCCCGAAAAUGAUGGUUCAACCCCUUCCCCUGCUA